RNAcentral lists this transfer RNA (128 nucleotides) under Arenicellales bacterium. RNAcentral describes it as "tRNA-OTHER". The record is from RNAcentral. Lineage: Bacteria; Pseudomonadati; Pseudomonadota; Gammaproteobacteria; Arenicellales.
GGCAGGUCAGAUAGGUACUCAAAUUCUAAACAUUGAGUUCAAAGUCGGCCAAGAUAGAACACAUGAGACCAGUUAGGUUCGAACUGCAAAACCUCUAUUCGGCGGUUCGAAUCCGCCCGUCGCCUCCA